UGGGGGAUAUUGCACAAUGGGCGAAAGCCUGAUGCAGCGACGCCGCGUGGGGGAUGAAGGCCUUCGGGUUGUAAACUUCUUUUGCUCUGAACAAGGCGCACCAUGGGGUGUGUUGAGUGUAGGGGUUGAUUAGCGCCGGCUAACUACGUGCCAGCAGCCGCGGUAAUACGUAGGGCGCGAGCGUUGUCUGGAAUUAUUGGGCGUAAAGGGCUUGUAGGUGGCUGGUUGCGUCUGUCGUGAAAGCUCAUGGCUUAACUGUGGGUUUGCGGUGGGUACGGGCUGGAUUGAGUGCAGUAGGGGAGGCUGGAAUUCCUGGUGUAGCGGUGGAAUGCGCAGAUAUCAGGAGGAAUACCGGUGGCGAAGGCGGGUCUCUGGGCUGUUACUGACACUGAGGAGCGAAAGCAUGGGGAGCGAACAGG
This 419-nucleotide ribosomal RNA is filed under the name bacterium. RNAcentral's name for it is "partial 16S ribosomal RNA". It matches the Rfam family "Bacterial small subunit ribosomal RNA", at positions 355 to 776 of the family's 1533-position model. The record is from RNAcentral.